UCCCAGACUCCUACGGGAGGCAGCAGUGGGGAAUAUUGCACAAUGGGGGAAACCCUGAUGCAGCGACGCCGCGUGAGUGAAGAAGUAUUUCGGUAUGUAAAGCUCUAUCAGCAGGAAAGAUAAUGACGGUACCUGACUAAGAAGCCCCGGCUAACUACGUGCCAGCAGCCGCGGUAAUACGUAGGGGGCAAGCGUUAUCCGGAUUUACUGGGUGUAAAGGGUGCGUAGGUGGCAUGGCAAGUCAGAAGUGAAAGCCCGGGGCUCAACCCCGCGGACUGCUUUUGAAACUGUCAGGCUGGAGUACAGGAGAGGUAAGCGGAAUUCCUAGUGUAGCGGUGAAAUGCGUAGAUAUUAGGAGGAACACCAGUGGCGAAGGCGGCCUACUGGACUGUAACUGACACUGAGGCACGAAAGCGUGGGGAGCAGACAGGAUUAGAUACCCGAGUA
RNAcentral lists this ribosomal RNA (447 nucleotides) under uncultured bacterium. RNAcentral's name for it is "bacterial SSU rRNA". It matches the Rfam family "Bacterial small subunit ribosomal RNA", at positions 329 to 792 of the family's 1533-position model. The record is from RNAcentral.